GGGACACGUGGUAUCCUGUCUGAAUAUGGGGGGACCAUCCUCCAAGGCUAAAUACUCCUGACUGACCGAUAGUGAACCAGUACCGUGAGGGAAAGGCGAAAAGAACCCCGGCGAGGGGAGUGAAAAAGAACCUGAAACCGUGUACGUACAAGCAGUGGGAGCACCCUUCGGGGUGUGACUGCGUACCUUUUGUAUAAUGGGUCAGCGACUUAUAUUCUGUAGCAAGGUUAACCGAAUAGGGGAGCCGGAGGGAAACCGAGUCUUAACCGGGCGUUAAGUUGCAGGGUAUAGACCCGAAACCCGGUGAUCUAGCCAUGGGCAGGUUGAAGGUUGGGUAACACUAACUGGAGGACCGAACCGACUAAUGUUGAAAAAUUAGCGGAUGACCUGUGGCUGGGGGUGAAAGGCCAAUCAAACCGGGAGAUAGCUGGUUCUCCCCGAAAGCUAUUUAGGUAGCGCCUCGUGAAUUCAUCUCCGGGGGUAGAGCACUGUUUCGGCUAGGGGGCCAUCCCGGCUUACCAACCCGAUGCAAACUGCGAAUACCGGAGAAUGUUAUCACGGGAGACACACGGCGGGUGCUAACGUCCGUCGUGAAGAGGGAAACAACCCAGACCGCCAGCUAAGGUCCCAAAGUCAUGGUUAAGUGGGAAACGAUGUGGGAAGGCCCAGACAGCCAGGAUGUUGGCUUAGAAGCAGCCAUCAUUUAAAGAAAGCGUAAUAGCUCACUGGUCGAGUCGGCCUGCGCGGAAGAUGUAACGGGGCUAAACCAUGCACCGAAGCUGCGGCAGCGAACGUAUCACUUAAAGCGAUUCAGCGGGUUACGAUUGACGGAGCGAAGCGACGUCAAAGCGUAUACAAAGUCGAGUCGGUUUAAGGAUACGUUCGUUGGGUAGGGGAGCGUUCUGUAAGCCUGUGAAGGUGUGUCGUGAGGCAUGCUGGAGGUAUCAGAAGUGCGAAUGCUGACAUAAGUAACGAUAAAGCGGGUGAAAAGCCCGCUCGCCGGAAGACCAAGGGUUCCUGUCCAACGUUAAUCGGGGCAGGGUGAGUCGACCCCUAAGGCGAGGCCGAAAGGCGUAGUCGAUGGGAAACGGGUUAAUAUUCCCGUACUUGGUGUUACUGCGAAGGGGGGACGGAGAAGGCUAUGUUGGCCGGGCGACGGUUGUCCCGGUUUAAGCGUGUAGGUGUGUGUUCCAGGUAAAUCCGGUUCACUUUAACACUGAGGCGUGAUGACGAGGCACUACGGUGCUGAAGCAACAAAUGCCCUGCUUCCAGGAAAAGCCUCUAAGCAUCAGGUAACAUCAAAUCGUACCCCAAACCGACACAGGUGGUCAGGUAGAGAAUACCAAGGCGCUUGAGAGAACUCGGGUGAAGGAACUAGGCAAAAUGGUGCCGUAACUUCGGGAGAAGGCACGCUGACACGUAGGUGAAGUGAUUUACUCAUGGAGCUGAAGUCAGUCGAAGAUACCAGCUGGCUGCAACUGUUUAUUAAAAACACAGCACUGUGCAAACACGAAAGUGGACGUAUACGGUGUGACGCCUGCCCGGUGCCGGAAGGUUAAUUGAUGGGGUCAGCGCAAGCGAAGCUCCUGAUCGAAGCCCCGGUAAACGGCGGCCGUAACUAUAACGGUCCUAAGGUAGCGAAAUUCCUUGUCGGGUAAGUUCCGACCUGCACGAAUGGCGUAAUGAUGGCCAGGCUGUCUCCACCCGAGACUCAGUGAAAUUGAACUCGCUGUGAAGAUGCAGUGUACCCGCGGCAAGACGGAAAGACCCCGUGAACCUUUACUAUAGCUUGACACUGAACAUUGAGCCUUGAUGUGUAGGAUAGGUGGGAGGCUUUGAAGCGUGGACGCCAGUCUGCGUGGAGCCGACCUUGAAAUACCACCCUUUAAUGUUUGAUGUUCUAACGUGGACCCGUGAUCCGGGUUGCGGACAGUGUCUGGUGGGUAGUUUGACUGGGGCGGUCUCCUCCUAAAGAGUAACGGAGGAGCACGAAGGUUGGCUAAUCCUGGUCGGACAUCAGGAGGUUAGUGCAAUGGCAUAAGCCAGCUUGACUGCGAGCGUGACGGCGCGAGCAGGUGCGAAAGCAGGUCAUAGUGAUCCGGUGGUUCUGAAUGGAAGGGCCAUCGCUCAACGGAUAAAAGGUACUCCGGGGAUAACAGGCUGAUACCGCCCAAGAGUUCAUAUCGACGGCGGUGUUUGGCACCUCGAUGUCGGCUCAUCACAUCCUGGGGCUGAAGUAGGUCCCAAGGGUAUGGCUGUUCGCCAUUUAAAGUGGUACGCGAGCUGGGUUUAGAACGUCGUGAGACAGUUCGGUCCCUAUCUGCCGUGGGCGCUGGAGAACUGAGGGGGGCUGCUCCUAGUACGAGAGGACCGGAGUGGACGCAUCACUGGUGUUCGGGUUGUCAUGCCAAUGGCACUGCCCGGUAGCUAAAUGCGGAAGAGAUAAGUGCUGAAAGCAUCUAAGCACGAAACUUGCCCCGAGAUGAGUUCUCCCUGAGACUUAAAGUCUCCUGAAGGAACGUUGAAGACGACGACGUUGAUAGGCCGGGUGUGUAAGCGCAGCGAUGCGUUGAGCUAACCGGUACUAAUGAACCGUGAGGCUUAACCUUACAACGCCGAAG
This 2621-nucleotide ribosomal RNA is filed under the name Salmonella enterica subsp. enterica serovar Newport. RNAcentral describes it as "partial 23S ribosomal RNA". It matches the Rfam family "Bacterial large subunit ribosomal RNA", at positions 419 to 2925 of the family's 2925-position model. Lineage: Bacteria; Pseudomonadati; Pseudomonadota; Gammaproteobacteria; Enterobacterales; Enterobacteriaceae. The record is from RNAcentral.